GUCUCCUUGUUCCUCAUGAGCCUCGCAACACCAAAAUUCCCAGACCCUAUAUCCUUCACAAGCUCGUAUUUCUCCAUCUUCUUAUCCUUAAAUAAACUUCACUGAAUUCAACACCUUUAAGCUGAAUUACAACGUACUAUGAACCAUAUAUUCACCAAAUCAGGAAAAAAGGUGUUUGAGAAUCUGUGAAUUUAGAAAGAACUAGGGUUUCUUGUAGCACAAAGAUUUGAGAAAUUGUGGGGCUUUGAAUAUGGAUAGAACAAAAUUGAUAUGGGGUUAUGGUGAGAGAAAAGAAUGAAAUCAGGAUUAUUAGCAGAGAUUUGAAGCUAAAGCAAGGAAUCCACUAGUGUGUGUCUGUGUGUGCAUGAGACAGAGCGAGAGAUUCUAGGGAGUAAUAGGGACAAAGUGUGAAAUGGUGA
RNAcentral lists this unclassified non-coding RNA (419 nucleotides) under Hevea brasiliensis (rubber tree). Lineage: Eukaryota; Viridiplantae; Streptophyta; Magnoliopsida; Malpighiales; Euphorbiaceae. The record is from RNAcentral.